This 324-nucleotide ribosomal RNA is filed under the name uncultured eukaryote. RNAcentral describes it as "partial 18S ribosomal RNA". It matches the Rfam family "Eukaryotic small subunit ribosomal RNA", at positions 1470 to 1796 of the family's 1831-position model. The record is from RNAcentral.
CCCUUAGAUGCUCUGGGCCGCACGCGCGCUCCACUGGUCGAUGCAACGAGUUUCUUUCCUUGGCCGACAGGCCUGGGCAAUCUUUGAACAUCGAUCGUGAUCGGGAUAGAUUCUUGUAAUUUUUGAUCUUAAACGAGGAAUUCCUAGUAAACGCAAGUCAUCAGCUUGCAUUGAUUACGUCCCUGCCCUUUGUACACACCGCCCGUCGCACCUACCGAUUGAAUGGUCCGGUGAAAUCUCCGGACUGGCGUGAGUCGGAGCAAUCUGACAAACACCGGAAAGUUGAUUAAACCUUACCAUUUAGAGGAAGGUGAAGUCGUAACA